UGCAGUCGAGCGCGUUGACGGGAGCUUGCUCCCUGAUUCAGCGGCGGACGGGUGAGUAAUGCCUAGGAAUCUGCCUAUUAGUGGGGGACAACGUUUCGAAAGGAACGCUAAUACCGCAUACGUCCUACGGGAGAAAGCAGGGGACCUUCGGGCCUUGCGCUAAUAGAUGAGCCUAGGUCGGAUUAGCUAGUUGGUGAGGUAAUGGCUCACCAAGGCGACGAUCCGUAACUGGUCUGAGAGGAUGAUCAGUCACACUGGAACUGAGACACGGUCCAGACUCCUACGGGAGGCAGCAGUGGGGAAUAUUGGACAAUGGGCGAAAGCCUGAUCCAGCCAUGCCGCGUGUGUGAAGAAGGUCUUCGGAUUGUAAAGCACUUUAAGUUGGGAGGAAGGGUUGUAGAUUAAUACUCUGCAAUUUUGACGUUACCGACAGAAUAAGCACCGGCUAACUCUGUGCCAGCAGCCGCGGUAAUACAGAGGGUGCAAGCGUUAAUCGGAAUUACUGGGCGUAAAGCGCGCGUAGGUGGUUUGUUAAGUUGGAUGUGAAAGCCCCGGGCUCAACCUGGGAACUGCAUCCAAAACUGGCAAGCUAGAGUACGGU
Molecule: ribosomal RNA, 601 nt
Filed under: Pseudomonas sp.
Lineage: Bacteria; Pseudomonadati; Pseudomonadota; Gammaproteobacteria; Pseudomonadales; Pseudomonadaceae
Description: bacterial SSU rRNA
Rfam family: Bacterial small subunit ribosomal RNA
Source: RNAcentral